RNAcentral lists this long non-coding RNA (509 nucleotides) under Homo sapiens (human). RNAcentral's name for it is "long intergenic non-protein coding RNA 844". The record is from RNAcentral. Lineage: Eukaryota; Metazoa; Chordata; Mammalia; Primates; Hominidae.
GACAAAGGAAACACAGAGACAUAGACAUGGAUCUGGGAAAUACACCUUUUGCUACUCGUUCAGUUUUAGCAAGGAGGUUUCUUGCAUGGCUAAGCAAAACUUAAACUUCCUCUGAGAAUUACAGGAAUUACAGGACCUGACAAAGCUAUGAAGAUUAAACACCAUGGGAUGUAACUUUGUAGCUCCUCCCAUCAAGAAGUCUACUCAAGAGGUCUCAUUGAGGUCUACUUCCUGUACCUCCAAACCUGGGUUGGCUUUGAGACUUGCUUUGACCUAUAGGAAGAAAAUCUGAACCAGAAACAGUAUGGCAGAAUUGGGAUCUGACUCACAGAGGGAAGAACUUAUAAUUCUUCACAGGUCACAUAGAAGCAUGAGAAUUUGGGUUCAAGCAAGUAAAUUCUAAAUCAGAAUCCAUACAUAAAGUGUUUGCAAUGUCCAGUUAUAUCUCCAUGAUAUUUUCUUUGUGGAAGUUGAUUGUUCUUCCUUACAAUAAAUUGCUUGAAUUGUCU